AUUGAACGCUGGCGGCAGGCCUAACACAUGCAAGUCGAACGGUAGCACAGAGAGCUUGCUCUCCGGUGACGAGUGGCGGACGGGUGAGUAACGUCUGGGAAACUGCCCGAUGGAGGGGGAUAACUACUGGAAACGGUAGCUAAUACCGCAUAACGUCGCAAGACCAAAGUGGGGGACCUUCGGGCCUCACACCAUCGGAUGUGUCCAGAUGGGAUUAGCUAGGGGGUGGGGUAAUGGCUCACCUAGGCGGAGAUCCCUAGCUGGUCUGAGAGGAUGACCAGCCCCACUGGAACGGAGACACGGUCCAGACUCCUACGGGAGGAAGCAGUGGGGAAUAUUGCACAAUGGGCUGAAGCCUGAUGCAGCCAUGCCGCGUGUACGAAGAAGGCCUUCGGGUUGUAAAGUACUUUCAGCGGGGAGGAAGGCGGUGAAGUUAAUAACUUCACCGAUUGACGUUACCCGCAGAAGAAGCACCGGCUAACUCCGUGCCAGCCGCCGCCGUAA
RNAcentral lists this ribosomal RNA (504 nucleotides) under uncultured bacterium. Its description in RNAcentral is "partial 16S ribosomal RNA". It matches the Rfam family "Bacterial small subunit ribosomal RNA", at positions 29 to 523 of the family's 1533-position model. The record is from RNAcentral.